This 247-nucleotide long non-coding RNA is filed under the name Meriones unguiculatus (Mongolian gerbil). RNAcentral's name for it is "lncRNA (ENSMUGG00000020833.1)". The record is from RNAcentral. Lineage: Eukaryota; Metazoa; Chordata; Mammalia; Rodentia; Muridae.
GUGACGUAGAUCUCAUGUGACCAGGAGUCGACGUGUGCAGAAAUCCUGCUAGUCUGGUCCUUGUUUCCAUCUGAGUACCAGCUCUCUUCAGCCUUGCAGUCGGCGGUGUGAGAGGCCAGCGGAAGAAGGAGACAGCUUGCUUGAAUUCUGCAGGUUUGUUCUUUGUACUGCUCCAAGCUAAAAUAAGUAGGAAAAAGAAGCCGACCAGAUCGGUACCUGAAAUAAUUGCAUUCACGAAUAGGCAGGA